GACGAACGCUGGCGGCGUGCUUAACACAUGCAAGUCGAACGGAAAGGCCCUGCUUUUGUGGGGUGCUCGAGUGGCGAACGGGUGAGUAACACGUGAGUAACCUGCCCUUGACUUUGGGAUAACUUCAGGAAACUGGGUCUAAUACCGGAUAGGAGCUCCUGCUGCAUGGUGGGGGUUGGAAAGUUUCGGCGGUUGGGGAUGGACUCGCGGCUUAUCAGCUUGUUGGUGGGGUAGUGGCUUACCAAGGGUUUGACGGGUAGCCGGCCUGAGAGGGUGACCGGCCACAUUGGGACUGAGGUACGGCCCAGACUCCUACGGGAGGCAGCAGUGGGGAAUAUUGCGCAAUGGGCGGAAGCCUGAUGCAGCAACGCCGCGUGCGGGAUGACGUCCUUCGAGUUGUAAACCGCUUUCGCCUGUGACGAAGAGUGAGUGACGGUAAUGGGUAAAGAAGCACCGGCUAACUACGUG
RNAcentral lists this ribosomal RNA (468 nucleotides) under uncultured bacterium. Its description in RNAcentral is "partial 16S ribosomal RNA". It matches the Rfam family "Bacterial small subunit ribosomal RNA", at positions 28 to 507 of the family's 1533-position model. The record is from RNAcentral.